RNAcentral lists this transfer RNA (73 nucleotides) under Apios priceana. RNAcentral describes it as "tRNA-Glu". Lineage: Eukaryota; Viridiplantae; Streptophyta; Magnoliopsida; Fabales; Fabaceae. The record is from RNAcentral.
UCUUUGACUUUCUUUCGCAUUACUUAUUUUUUUAUUAACGACUGUAAUAAACAAUUUCUAAAUCGAAAUGAUG